RNAcentral lists this ribosomal RNA (943 nucleotides) under Russula sp. RNAcentral describes it as "partial 28S large subunit ribosomal RNA". It matches the Rfam family "Eukaryotic large subunit ribosomal RNA", at positions 39 to 966 of the family's 3401-position model. The record is from RNAcentral. Lineage: Eukaryota; Fungi; Basidiomycota; Agaricomycetes; Russulales; Russulaceae.
UAAAUAAUCAUAACGGAGGAAAGAAACUAACAAGGAUUCCCCUAGUAACUGCGAGUGAAGCGGGAAAAGCUCAAAUUUAAAAUCUGGUGGUCUUUGGCCAUCCGAGUUGUAAUUUAGAGAAGCGUCUUCCGCGCUGGACCGUGCACAAGUCUCCUGGAAUGGAGCGUCAUAGAGGGUGAGAAUCCCGUCUUUGGCACGGAUGUACCAGGGCUUUUGCGAUGCGCUCUCGAAGAGUCGAGUUGUUUGGGAAUGCAGCUCAAAAUGGGUGGUGAACUCCAUCUAAAGCUAAAUAUUGGCGAGAGACCGAUAGCGAACAAGUACCGUGAGGGAAAGAUGAAAAGCACUUUGGAAAGAGAGUGAAACAGUACGUGAAAUUGUUGAAAGGGAAACGCUUGAAGUCAGUCGCGUCGACCGAGACUCAGCCUCGCCUCGGCUUGGUGUACUUCUCGGCUGACGGGUCAGCAUCAAUUUUGCCCCUUGGAUAAUGGCGAGGGAAAUGUGACACCUUUACGGUGUGUUAUAGUCUCUCGUCGCAUGCAAGGGUCGGGAUUGAGGAACUCAGCACGCGCCUUUGGGCGUCGGGGCUUUGCCCACGAUACGUGCUUAGGAUGUUGGCGUAAUGGCUUUAAACGACCCGUCUUGAAACACGGACCAAGGAGUCUAACAUGCCUGCGAGUGUUCGGGUGGAAAACCCGUGCGCGCAAUGAAAGUGAAAGUUGGGACCUCUGUCGUGGAGGGCACCGACGCCCGGACCAGACCUUCUGUGACGGCUCUGCGGUAGAGCAUGUAUGUUAGGACCCGAAAGAUGGUGAACUAUGCCUGAAUAGGGUGAAGCCAGAGGAAACUCUGGUGGAGGCUCGUAGCGAUUCUGACGUGCAAAUCGAUCGUCAAAUUUGGGUAUAGGGGCGAAAGACUAUCGAACAUCUAGACUGGCCGCAAAAAA